GAUGAACGCUGGCGGCGUGCCUAAUACAUGCAAGUCGAGCGAACUGACGAGAAGCUUGCUUCUCUGAUGUUAGCGGCGGACGGGUGAGUAACACGUGGAUAACCUACCUAUAAGACUGGGAUAACUUCGGGAAACCGGAGAUAAUACCGGAUAAUAUUUUGAACCGCAUGGUUCAAAAGUGAAAGACGGUCUUGCUGUCACUUAUAGAUGGAUCCGCGCUGCAUUAGCUAGUUGGUAAGGUAACGGCUUACCAAGGCAACGAUGCAUAGCCGACCUGAGAGGGUGAUCGGCCACACUGGAACUGAGACACGGUCCAGACUCCUACGGGAGGCAGCAGGAGGGAAUCUUCCGCAAUGGGCGAAAGCCUGACGGAGCAACGCCGCGGGAGUGAUGAAGGUCUUCGGAUCGUAAAACUCUGUUAUUAGGGAAGAACAUAUGUGUAAGUAACUGUGCACAUCUGGACGGUACCAAAGCAGAAAGCCACGGCUAACUACGG
Molecule: ribosomal RNA, 496 nt
Filed under: uncultured bacterium
Lineage: Bacteria
Description: partial 16S ribosomal RNA
Rfam family: Bacterial small subunit ribosomal RNA
Source: RNAcentral